Long non-coding RNA from Galeopterus variegatus (Sunda flying lemur), 771 nucleotides. RefSeq lists it as uncharacterized. The record is from RefSeq and is a predicted model, not a curated record. The transcript has 3 exons. NCBI's taxonomy places the organism in Eukaryota, Metazoa, Chordata, Mammalia, Dermoptera, Cynocephalidae.
UCAAGAGUUGCAGAUACGGUGCAUGGAGUCCUUGUGAACCCUUCCCCCAGCUUCCCCCAGUGGUCAUAUCUUAUGUAACUACAGCACCACUUCAGACCAGGACCAUGACACUGGUAAGGGACAUUUGUGCUGUGGGUGGAGCUGUCAGGAGCCUGGUGGACAAAACAUCAUGACAAAAUGAAAGGGAAAGAUGGACUUCAGACAGCAGUCUGGAGAAAAAUUGAAUUCAACAAUGCUAUUUAAGAUUGCAUGCAUGGGGAGUUCCGGUCAAGAUGGUGGAGUAGACAGUUCCUAGUGUUGCUCUCUCCCACAAAGCGACCAACUUGCAACUAUUAAAAAGCAACAACAGGAGACAUGAGAUCAGUGCCAGAAUAGGCGGGAGCCGCAUGCCACAGGACCCCAUCCCAGGCCAGUGUUUGCCACCCAGAGAGGCCUGAGAGCCACGGGGGCCACACACCCUGAGACAGCCAAGCCAGAAAAGGCAGGUACCGCGAGACCUCCAGCCCAGGUUGGUCCCUGCUACUUAGAGAGACUCAAGAGCCUCUGGGCUCACACGCCCAUAGUCAGCCAUGCUGGAAAAGGCAGGCACUGUGGGACCUCCAGCUCAGAUUGGUUCUCACCACUUAGAGAGACUUAAGAGCCUCUGGGUCCAUACACCCUGAGACAGCCAUGCUGGAAAAGACAGAUGUCGCAGGACCCCUAGCCCAGGCUAGUUCCUGCUGCCCAGAAUUGGCAGUCCCUUCAGGAUCCAAGCCAGACAUCAAGGAGAUA